GGCUGUGAGGGCUAUCUCAUUGUGGCAUCUGUCACCCCAUUGAAAUCCAGGGUUGAUUCCACAGCUCUGGCUGCCUAGGUGAGAGCUCCUUUUGUCCUUCAAUGCCCCAAGUUCGUCCUUCCCAAAGCUGCACACUUUUCACUAGCUGCACCAGAGUCUUCAAGAUCUGAAACUCUGUCUUCACUUUCACUCAGACAGUUUUGCAGGCUUGUGAUUUUUAAGUUCCUCUAUAUC
Molecule: small RNA, 234 nt
Filed under: Octodon degus (degu)
Lineage: Eukaryota; Metazoa; Chordata; Mammalia; Rodentia; Octodontidae
Description: 7SK RNA (ENSODEG00000023734.1)
Rfam family: 7SK RNA (bases 1-183)
About the family: 7SK was discovered as an abundant small nuclear RNA in the mid-70s but a possible function has only recently been suggested. Two independent studies have found that 7SK RNA binds the CDK9/cyclin T complex (known as elongation factor P-TEFb).
Source: RNAcentral